UACGUGGGGGGCAAGCGUUGUCCGGAUUUAUUGGGCGUAAAGCGCUCGCAGGUGGUUCGUUGCGUCGUGCGUGAAAGACCCUGGCUCAACUGGGGGAUGUCGUGCGAUACGGGCGAACUGGAGGCCAGUAGGGGGAUGCGGAAUUCCGGGUGUAGUGGUGGAAUGCGUAGAGAUCCGGAGGAACACCAGCGGCGAAGGCGGCAUCCUGGACUGGUCCUGACACUCAGGAGCGAAAGCGUGGGGAGCGAUCCGG
RNAcentral lists this ribosomal RNA (253 nucleotides) under uncultured bacterium. Its description in RNAcentral is "partial 16S ribosomal RNA". It matches the Rfam family "Bacterial small subunit ribosomal RNA", at positions 524 to 776 of the family's 1533-position model. The record is from RNAcentral.